CACGUAGGGGGCGAGCGUUGUCCGGAUUCAUUGGGCGUAAAGCGCGCGCAGGCGGCUCGGAAAGUCGGGUGUGAAAACUCGGGGCUCAACCCCGGGCGUGCAUCCGAUACUGCCGGGCUUGAGGCAGGUAGGGGAGAUCGGAAUUCCUGGUGUAGCGGUGAAAUGCGCAGAUAUCAGGAGGAACACCGGUGGCGAAGGCGGAUCUCUGGGCCUGUCCUGACGCUGAGGCGCGAAAGCGUGGGGAGCGAACAGG
This 253-nucleotide ribosomal RNA is filed under the name uncultured bacterium. Its description in RNAcentral is "partial 16S ribosomal RNA". It matches the Rfam family "Bacterial small subunit ribosomal RNA", at positions 524 to 776 of the family's 1533-position model. The record is from RNAcentral.